GGGUGAGAUGAUGGCAUACCAUCUUUCGGGACUGACUUGUGACAUGGUGAUAACACACCUUGAGACUGAUCACCC
Small nucleolar RNA from Synchiropus splendidus (mandarinfish), 75 nucleotides. RefSeq annotates it as small nucleolar RNA SNORD2. The record is from RefSeq and is a predicted model, not a curated record. The transcript has a single exon. Lineage: Eukaryota; Metazoa; Chordata; Actinopteri; Syngnathiformes; Callionymidae.